GACGGACGCUGGCGGCGUGCUUAGCACAUGCAAGUCGAACGGAAAGGCCUCUUUCGGGGGGUACUCGAGUGGCGAACGGGUGAGUAACACGUGAGUAACCUGCCCUUGACUUUGGGAUAACUUCAGGAAACUGGGGCUAAUACCGGAUAGGAGCUCCUGCUGCAUGGUGGGGGUUGGAAAGUUUCGGCGGUUGGGGAUGGACUCGCGGCUUAUCAGCUUGUUGGUGGGGUAGUGGCUUACCAAGGCUUUGACGGGUAGCCGGCCUGAGAGGGUGACCGGCCACAUUGGGACUGAGAUACGGCCCAGACUCCUACGGGAGGCAGCAGUGGGGAAUAUUGCACAAUGGGUGGAAGCCUGAUGCAGCAACGCCGUGUGCGGGAUGACGGCCUUCGGGUUGGAAACCGCUUUCGCUCAUGACGAAGCUUUGUGUGACGGUAGUGGGUAAAGAAGCACCGGCUAACUACGUG
RNAcentral lists this ribosomal RNA (467 nucleotides) under uncultured bacterium. RNAcentral's name for it is "partial 16S ribosomal RNA". It matches the Rfam family "Bacterial small subunit ribosomal RNA", at positions 28 to 507 of the family's 1533-position model. The record is from RNAcentral.